CCUACGGGCGGCAGCAGUGAGGAAUAUUGGUCAAUGGAUGGAAGUCUGAACCAGCCAUGCCGCGUGCAGGAAGACGGCCCUAUGAGUUGUAAACUGCUUUUGUACAAGGGUAAACCUGAAUACGUGUAUUCAGCUGAAAGUACUGUACGAAUAAGGAUCGGCUAACUCCGUGCCAGCAGCCGCGGUAAUACGGAGGAUCCAAGCGUUAUCCGGAUUUAUUGGGUUUAAAGGGUGCGUAGGCGGAUUGAUAAGUUAGAGGUGAAAUGUCCGAGCUUAACUCGGGAACUGCCUCUAAUACUGUUGAUCUAGAGAGUAGAUGAGGUAGGCGGAAUGUAUGGUGUAGCGGGGAAAUGCUUAGAGAUCAUACAGAACACCGAUUGCGAAGGCAGCUUACCAAUCUAUAUCUGACGUUGAGGCACGAAAGCGUGGGGAGCAAACAGGAUUAGAUACCCUUGUAGUC
RNAcentral lists this ribosomal RNA (460 nucleotides) under uncultured bacterium. Its description in RNAcentral is "partial 16S ribosomal RNA". It matches the Rfam family "Bacterial small subunit ribosomal RNA", at positions 338 to 795 of the family's 1533-position model. The record is from RNAcentral.